ACGGAAGGCAGCAGUGGGGAAUAUUGGACAAUGGGGGAAACCCUGAUCCAGCGACGCCGCGUGAGUGAAGAAGUAUUUCGGUAUGUAAAGCUCUAUCAGCAGGGAAGAAAAUGACGGUACCUGACUAAGAAGCCCCGGCUAACUACGUGCCAGCAGCCGCGGUAAUACGUAGGGGGCAAGCGUUAUCCGGAUUUACUGGGUGUAAAGGGAGCGUAGACGGCAAGGCAAGUCUGAUGUGAAAGGCAGGGGCUCAACUCCUGGACUGCAUUGGAAACUGUCUGGCUAGAGUACCGGAGGGGUAAGCGGAAUUCCUAGUGUAGCGGUGAAAUGCGUAGAUAUUAGGAGGAACACCAGUGGCGAAGGCGGCUUACUGGACGGUAACUGACGCUGAGACACGAAAGCGUGGGGAGCAAACAGGAUUAGAUACCCUGGUA
RNAcentral lists this ribosomal RNA (434 nucleotides) under uncultured Clostridium sp. RNAcentral describes it as "partial 16S ribosomal RNA". It matches the Rfam family "Bacterial small subunit ribosomal RNA", at positions 341 to 792 of the family's 1533-position model. The record is from RNAcentral. Lineage: Bacteria; Bacillati; Bacillota; Clostridia; Eubacteriales; Clostridiaceae.